CGGAGGGUGCAAGCGUUAUCCGGAUUCACUGGGUUUAAAGGGUGCGUAGGUGGGCUGGUAAGUCAGUGGUGAAAAUCUCCGGGCUUAACCCGGAAACUGCCAUUGAUACUAUUGGUCUUGAAUUAUCUGGAGGUCAGCGGAAUAUGUCAUGUAGCGGUGAAAUGCUUAGAUAUGACAUAGAACACCAAUUGCGAAGGCAGCUGGCUACAGGUUGAUUGACACUGAGGCACGAAAGCGUGGGAUCAAACAGGAUU
RNAcentral lists this ribosomal RNA (254 nucleotides) under uncultured bacterium. RNAcentral describes it as "partial 16S ribosomal RNA". It matches the Rfam family "Bacterial small subunit ribosomal RNA", at positions 526 to 779 of the family's 1533-position model. The record is from RNAcentral.